This is a long non-coding RNA of Nelumbo nucifera (sacred lotus), 1385 nucleotides long. RefSeq lists it as uncharacterized. Lineage: Eukaryota; Viridiplantae; Streptophyta; Magnoliopsida; Proteales; Nelumbonaceae. The record is from RefSeq and is a predicted model, not a curated record.
UUAGCUUCUCAUUAGUUUCAUUCCACAUUUUCCACUUCCUUCUCGAGACUCACCGGACUCUACCGUCGCCAGUCACCCUCACUCUCUCCCGGUUGGACUGGCGGUGAUUAACAGCCAUAACCGGCGACCCCCUCAGGUAUUUUGGACUCUACCCUAAUAGAAGUCGGACUGUUAUCACCGGAGAUCGAUAGAAGCCGAACUCCUGUCAACGGUAAUCAUUCAGAUUCGCCUACCCUUGCGGAUUCUAUGGACAAAGGAGUCUGAUGAGAGAAGAGGUGGCCAUUGGAAACAAGAAGAAGUGGAGGUGUCAUCAUCAUUGUCUCAUGUUUCUCACUCUGCCGCUUGGGGAGUCGGUUUCAACCUUCAAUAUGGAGAAUGUCGUCUGCAGCCACGGACUAUUCAUGGUGGCGCUGAACCAGUGCGACCCAUGACUAAGACCUAUCUUCCAGCGCCCAUUGAGAGUCUCUGAUGAAACCACUUCCAUCCUCGCCUGCAUCUCCCAUCCCCCCAAUUCCCCUUCUCUCCAUGUCCGCGUUCUCGGCACCACUUCCCUCUCUCCCGAUGAUCAAGAAGUUCUGCCGGUACUCAACUAUCUACCUACUACCAGGGCUAUCAAUUGGACGGUUUUGGGUUGGACCCAAACCGAUUCAAAUCUUAUCAAAUCGGUUUUGGAUAAUCCAUUAUUCUUAUUGGGUUGGGCCAACCCAAAAUAAAACCGUCCGUAUUAUUAUUGGUUUGAGUCGGUCUAAAACCAAAAUCCGUUGAAUUAUCAUCUCGCCAAAGUUCAAACCCUACAGAUUUCAUUCAAAGCCAAAAUCGAAAACUGACCUUGAAACUCAAAGCAACCUUCGAACUCAGUUCUGAUCUUCAUUCUUUUUCUCCCCUGUUAGUUCUUUUCUCUUCUUCCUCUCCCUCUCUAUCCUUCUCUGUCGUCGUCCCUCUCCCUCUCUAUCCUUUGCUGCCGUCGUUUCUUCUCAUCUUCUCAUCAGCCAUCGUCGUCAUCCAAGACGAACCGAUAGAAACCAAAGAAGCCUCCCCUGUUGCAUUGACAGACCUCAGGCGAAAAUUCCGAACCAGGUGCUGGAAUGUGGAAUGUGGACCAGGAUCUAGAGCUGGGGGCGCAUAACCAUCGGAACAUGCCAUUAGUAUUCUUUUAUAUGGAAAAUGCUACAUCAACUUCCUUCGGGUGGUUUGGAUAACGGUUUAUGUGGUUUCAGAAUUUUUAUUCUCUGGUUGCAGUUGUUCAUCCAUCCUCUUGAUGGUAUUUGAUCAAAUGGAGAUGGAAUUUUUUGGUUGAUACAGUAAUUUCUUUGAAAAGAAUGUUGAUUAGAUACAAUAAUUUCUACCUGGAAUAUAUGGUUGAUACAGUAAUUUUUAAUUUUUUA